UUUUUUGUUAUGUUUUGUUUACAUUCUUUAACUCAUGUUUAAAAAGAGCCGCAUCGAGUCAACUUCAGCCGUUUCCAGCGUCCGUUUCUUCAAUGCCGAAAGGUGCACAGAGUUGGAGAGUGGAGGUCAGGCCUCUCAAGCUUGUUAAAAGCGAGAAGAGCGCCCUAAAAUUCACUAAUGAUCCUUCCGCAGGUUCACCUACGGAAA
RNAcentral lists this unclassified non-coding RNA (207 nucleotides) under uncultured fungus. Its description in RNAcentral is "sequence contains ITS1". The record is from RNAcentral. Lineage: Eukaryota; Fungi.